CGCUUGUAUGCAUAUAGAAGUAUGUAAAAUUGUGGUCUUCUAAUCAUAUCUGGUUUGGAGGAACUCUAAUUGAUCAGGAAGUAUGAAUCCUAAUACCAGUGGGAUACUUAAUCAAACAGUGCGUUUACAUUGAGAUAUAGGAGUAUCUUAAGAAUUCCAAAUUCUAUAUGGAUUAAAACAUCCUAUUCCUAAGCAAACAGGAUUCCUUUGAGUAGUCCUUGAUGGGUAAGGUACUGGAAUAGAUACUUGUAAAUAAGGUCCCUUACCUAUCGGUAAAAGCACACUCAUAAUAGAAAAUUCACCCCAUCCAGAGAUAGAGAUAAAGUGCCGAG
RNAcentral lists this long non-coding RNA (332 nucleotides) under Prunus persica (peach). Its description in RNAcentral is "long non-coding RNA (PPER_LNC000286)". The record is from RNAcentral. Lineage: Eukaryota; Viridiplantae; Streptophyta; Magnoliopsida; Rosales; Rosaceae.